GACGAACGCUGGCGGCGUGCUUAACACAUGCAAGUCGAACGGUGAACCAGAGCUUGCUCUGGGGAUCAGUGGCGAACGGGUGAGUAACACGUGGGGCAACCUGCCCCAGACUCUGGGAUAACCCCGGGAAACCGGAGCUAAUAUCGGAUAUGACCACUUCGGACAUCCGAUGGUGGUGGAAAGUUUUUCGGUCUGGGAUGGGCCCGCGGCCUAUCAGCUAGUUGGUGGGGUAAUGGCCUACCAAGGCGACGACGGGUAGCCGGCCUGAGAGGGCGACCGGCCACACUGGAACUGAGACACGGUCCAGACUCCUACGGGAGGCAGCAGUGGGGAAUACUGCACAAUGGGCGAAAGCCUGAUGCAGCGACGCCGCGUGAGGGACGACGGCCUCGGUUGUAACGUAC
This 404-nucleotide ribosomal RNA is filed under the name uncultured bacterium. Its description in RNAcentral is "bacterial SSU rRNA". It matches the Rfam family "Bacterial small subunit ribosomal RNA", at positions 28 to 433 of the family's 1533-position model. The record is from RNAcentral.